RNAcentral lists this ribosomal RNA (627 nucleotides) under Karenia mikimotoi. RNAcentral's name for it is "LSU rRNA". It matches the Rfam family "Eukaryotic large subunit ribosomal RNA", at positions 52 to 671 of the family's 3401-position model. Lineage: Eukaryota; Dinophyceae; Gymnodiniales; Kareniaceae. The record is from RNAcentral.
GACGGAACAAGCACUCCCUACUGAAUCCCUUAGUAAUGGCGAACGAAGGGGGAACAGCUUGGGUUGGAAACUAAGGCUUCGGUCUUGGGUUGUGACCUGCAGACACAGCACCAACAGCGGCGCAAGCGUAAGCCUCUUGGAAAAGAGCAUUCACUCGGGUGAGAAUCCUGUGCGUCGCUUGACGUCCGCUGCGUACGGUGCGUGCUCUUAAAGUCACGCUCCUUGGAAUUGGAGCGUAAAUUAGGUGGUAAAUUUCAUCUACAGCGAAAUAUAAGCUCGAGACCGAUAGCAAACAAGUACCAUGAGGGAAAGAUGAAAAGGACUUUGGAAAGAGAGUUAAAAGUGCUUGAAAUCGCUGAAGGGGAAGCGAAUGGAACCAAGACCCUGGCUGAGACUGCUGCGAGUUUUCACUAGCCUUGUGCGUGAAUGCGUAAGCUUUUCGCACAUACGUGAAGGAAUGCUCGCGGUGUUUCUCAGCUUGCUCGUCAGCUGCAACGCUCGCUUGAGGAUGGCCCUUGUCGCGCGCGGCUCUUCUGCGGAAUUGCUUCGGCGCCUCUGGGGAUUCAGGCGAGCGUGUCUUGCUGAUUAAAUGGUUCUCUUCGACCCGUCUUGAAAAGCGCCCCCAAG